UACAUAUUUUUCAUACAACAUGGCCCCUAAAUGCAAGCCAACUACUUCAUCUGGUUCUCAACCGAAGAAACCAUGAUCUGCUCCAAUGCUGGAGGAAAAACUGGCUGUGUUGGAUUUAUUGAGAGACAGUAUGUCGGUUUCCAACGUGGCGCAUAAAUAUGACUGCAACAAAUCUAGCAUCCGUGCCAGCAAGAUGAGAGAGAGAGAGAGAGAGAGAGAGAGAGAAAUUCGUCAAGCUGUGGCAUCUAGUGCUCCAAUAACUGCUAAGCUCAGUGAUGAAAACGAACAGCUACUUAAGAAGUUGAAAAGGUUGCAUAGAAAAAAUCAACAGCUAGAAAAUGAUUUGGCUCAGAUCCAGGAAAAACUGCAUCUGGAGCAGUUAAUGCAUGACUGUGUCACAAGCAGAGAUGUUCAGGUUCAAACAGAAUCCCACUUACGGUACAAGGGAGCUGGCAGUCACAACAAAGAAAUCAAAGUAGCAAGCGAAAGUGCCCGAAUACUUCAGAUGUAUAAUAACCUGCAGAAAUGUUAUGACAGAGAAAUCAAAACAAACCAGGAGCAAAGUGAAACAAUUAAAAAUCUUACUAUUAAAAUUCAUGAGCUAGAGCAUCAACUUCAAGGACAAAAGCAAAGAAUUGAGCAGCUGGAAUGUAAAAAGGUCUCCCAGAAGGAAAACACUGUUUCUGGAGUAAGGACUCCAACAGCAGAGAGAGAAGUAACAUUAUCUCACAGAUGCAUAUGUAAGAAGAAGGGAGCCUGUUCUUGCAAAUAUUUGGUGCUAUUGCUGCUUGAGAUUCAAAAGCUGAAGAAAAAAAAUGAUAAGCUGUCUAGAGAAAGGAGAAUGCAAAGAAAUGAAUUACCUGGAUUAGACAAGGUUCAGGAAGAGGAGUAAUUGGAAUUCAGAUGAACUUUUGCUUUUAACUGCUUGAUUCUCUUGUGAUCACGCUUUUAUCUUGGGCCACUUCUGUCUCUAGUCCUCCACCUUGAAGUUAUUUGCUCCAUGUUACAGAGACACUGACUGAAAUGUAAAUUGAUUGACUUAGUUCUGCCCAACAGAUAGAUAAUUGCAUUUAGAACAAAAACAAAUUUCCCAAACUAAGUACCCACUGCUGCUCUGUAAUAUUUAUGAGCGGAGGAUUAUUUUUCUGUAGAGUUAGUUACUCCUAGGGCAAGACUUUUCAUUCUUCUUUGCUGGGCUGUUAAAAUUGACAUGUGGACCAGGGGAGGAGGGAGUUAGUGGGAAGUGCUGGUAAUUCUUGAAAUGAGAUGGUAAGAGUUGGAGGUCUAAUCUUACUGUUCAGCUGAGUUAUUUGAAUAUCCAGAUGAAAGUUUUUUCUUCAUUUUUAGCAGCAAAUUUCCUUUCAGUUGUUUUUAGAUUUUUUUUGUGUUUGCAUAAAGCUAAUUAUUUCAGCUUGGUCCUUUCGAUUGGAGGACAAACAUUAAUCCAUGAACUUUUGGAUUGGGACAUCUGUAGCACAUGCUGCCAUCAUUGACAUUCAAGUGAUUUGGGAACUUCAGUCCAGUUAGGUGCUUUUGAAAAUUUUAAGGUUGGUGUGUAGAGAGUAAUCCUAAUAAUUGUAUAGUCAUGAGUGUUUGUUGAAGAAUAAAUUCGGAUACUGACAUAACUUGUCACUUGUUUUCAGUAUUAAUUUAGUAUUUCCUCUUGAAGGAAGUACUGCCUUGUCCUGUUAUUCUCAUCGGCUCCAACAGGUUUUCAGCUGGGUAGUACUUGCAGAUUCAGCAGGAAGUGGUGUUGGUGAUUUAUUGUGUGUGACUGUUUUUUAAGAAUUGUUACUGAAUCAGUAUAGCCCAGCCUGAUGUUUUAUUUAGGAGGUAGAGAUGAGAGAUCUAUCUGAGGAUCUAAUUAUUUGUCACUAAGGUUGUUAUUACUGAUAACAAGUAGUAGCUGAAAGCCUGUGAUAUCACACACAGGUGUGGUAGUCGGGCCACAUACUCCACAGUCUAUGCAGCCUGUCUCAUACAACCGAUAUAACUGUUGCAUGCAAAUUAACAAUAGAGGAAGGGCGGUGAUUGGUUGAGUUACCUCUGCUAUCACAAUGGUCUAGGACUUGUGGCUUGGCAUAUAUACAUGCCUACUGUAGCUACACACCACACAGAUGUAAUUCAUAAAAUCAAAGUGGCUGAGAACUUAAAAAUUUGACAGUAAAACAGGGAAUCUUAGUGAUGAUUGAAUCUGGUGAUAUUCUGAACAAAAAGAGCUUUCAGCCAUGGUUGUAGCUGUUUGUGUCCUCACGCUGACUCAACAGACAUUGUAGGCUUCAGGGUGACAUACAGAGUAACAAUUGUAGAAUUUUAUUAUACAGAUGACUACAAGAUGUGUGUAGCAGAUUACAAAACCAACAUUGACCCCUUUCUCCAAAGCAUUUAGUCAAAGUAAAAACAAGAGAAGAAAACAGUAGAAUCUGGAGGCAUCUUUAUCAUGUAGUCUCUUUUGAAAGUAGUAGAUUCUGUGUCACCAUUCGGGCUAGAAUUCUGGGUGAUUACAUUCUGUCUACUAUUGCUAUACUUCCUCUGUAAGUGAUUUGGAUAUGCUGUUCUUUUACUGUCCUAAGCUCUGGAAGAUUGCCUGUGCAAGUCAUUACCUUGAUUCCUCCAUUGCUGAAAUCCUUAUCCAUGCCUUAAUCUCCUCUCUCCUUGACUAUUGCAGUUCCAGUCUUUACGGACUCACUCCUAACUCUCAGCUCUCCAGACUCCAUGAUGUGUGGAACUCUGUUGUCUGGCUUUUGCAAAUACGGGGAAAUGUAACUACAUUUCCAUUAUUAGACACACCUUUUGGCACCGAUUCACUUUGAGAUCCCUUUGAAACCCCUUUGUUUUUUAAAAUUGUCAAUGAUUUGUUCCCUGUGUCUUUGUGGACUUCGCUUUCUCUCUUGAAUCCAUCCUACUAUCUCUGUCCACACCACUGGGUUUGUGUGACCUUUCCUUUCCAUUUAGAACUACCUUUUUUUCUUUCUGCAACAUUGACUCUUCUCUCCUUUGCUUCUCUCUUAAUUUCUCUUGCUGCUAUCAUAUUUUUUAUUUUACUUUUUAUUAUUUGUCUGUAAAAUAUUUUGAAACUGUUUGUAUGAAAGAUGCUAUAUAUAUAAAAGUUGUAAGCUGUUGUGCAGUGUUGCAGUUAGCCACCACAUCUAAGUUGAGAUGUGGUUGCAGCCUCACUGGUGACCAAAGUGAUUCCUAUGUGUAUAACUUGAAGAGUACUCUGAGGGUACAUCUACAUGGCCCACAGCAGCGAGUGCCAGAGCCUGAGUUGAUAAACUUGAUGUCGCUCUACUGCACUAAAAAUGGCUGUGUAGAUGUUCCGGCUCAGGCUCUGAAGCCCACCUCCCUCACCGGAGCCUGAGCUCCGUCCCAAGCUGCAAUGUGCAGCUGUUUUUAGCAUGUUAGUAGAAGUUUGAGUCUAUCGACUUGGGCUGUGAGACUUGCUGUGUCUGUACCCUGAGAAAUAGGCUGAAGCAGGGGAAAAUUUUGAGGUAUAACUUUAACCUUCCUAUGUCUAAUGGGAAAUGUAACUUUAGAAAAAAAAUAGAUGAAUACUGAAUUUUCUUUUUUAGGAAUUUUUCGACGAGAUAGAAGAUUUAAAGUAUGCUCUACAAGAAUCAAUAAAACUGAAUAAUCAGUAUGAAAAGUGCUUGAAACACAUAAGUUCAACGUAUGGACUUGCUUUUGCCACACCUUUUGUAACUAGUAAUAGAAAUUAAACAUUCCAUUUAGAUUUUUCAUGUUGAAUUCUCUCCCCAAAACACGGAUCAACCUGGUUACCAGGUUAGCACUUCAUUUUCCACAAUAAAAUCAUGACUUUCUUGACUCAAACAUGCAAUUUUACAGUGUUAUGUAUCUUUUACUUGACCAUGUGCUUUUGUUGUUGUAUAGUUUUUGAAUAAACUGUCCAUUUAUAAUUUUGUUUGAGAAA
RNA transcript from Dermochelys coriacea (leatherback sea turtle), 3931 nucleotides. It is a transcript of the gene named centrosomal protein of 290 kDa-like, with no coding region annotated. The transcript is spliced from 8 exons. The record is from RefSeq and is a predicted model, not a curated record. Lineage: Eukaryota; Metazoa; Chordata; Testudines; Dermochelyidae.